UACACUCCUGCGGGAGGCAGCAGUGAGGAAUAUUGGACAAUGGGUGGAAGCCUGAUCCAGCCAUCCCGCGUGCAGGAAGACGGCCCUAUGGGUUGUAAACUGCUUUUAUCUGGGGAUAAACCUACUUACGUGUAAGUAGCUGAAGGUACCAGAAGAAUAAGCACCGGCUAACUCCGUGCCAGCAGCCGCGGUAAUACGGAGGGUGCAAGCGUUAUCCGGAUUUAUUGGGUUUAAAGGGUCCGUAGGCGGACUGAUAAGUCAGUGGUGAAAUCCGACAGCUUAACUGUCGAACUGCCAUUGAUACUGUUAGUCUUGAGUAAGGUUGAAGUGGCUGGAAUAAGUAGUGUAGCGGUGAAAUGCAUAGAUAUUACUUAGAACACCAAUUGCGAAGGCAGGUCACUAAGUCUUAACUGACGCUGAUGGACGAAAGCGUGGGGAGCGAACAGGAUUAGAAACCCGUGUAGUCCCA
Molecule: ribosomal RNA, 469 nt
Filed under: uncultured organism
Description: partial 16S ribosomal RNA
Rfam family: Bacterial small subunit ribosomal RNA
Source: RNAcentral